RNAcentral lists this microRNA precursor (205 nucleotides) under Oryza sativa Indica Group (long-grained rice). Its description in RNAcentral is "MIR812 microRNA precursor family". It matches the Rfam family "MIR812 microRNA precursor family". The record is from Rfam by way of RNAcentral. Lineage: Eukaryota; Viridiplantae; Streptophyta; Magnoliopsida; Poales; Poaceae.
AAAAAGGCAAACCCUAGGUUUGCGUGUCCAACUUUGACUGUCCGUCUUAUAUGAAAUUUUUUUAUAAUUCGUAUUUUUAUUGUUGUUAGAUGAUAAAACAUGAUUAAUACUUUGUGCGUGACUUGUCUUUUUAAUUUUUUUCAUAAUUUUUUCAAAUAAGACGGACGGUCAAACAUUGGGCACGGAAACCAGGGUUUGUCUUUUU